RNAcentral lists this ribosomal RNA (504 nucleotides) under uncultured bacterium. RNAcentral's name for it is "partial 16S ribosomal RNA". It matches the Rfam family "Bacterial small subunit ribosomal RNA", at positions 29 to 523 of the family's 1533-position model. The record is from RNAcentral.
AUCGAACGCUGGCGGCAGGCCUAACACAUGCAAGUCGAGCGGUAACACAGGGAGCUUGCUCCUGGGUGACGAGCGGCGGACGGGUGAGUAAUGUCUGGGAAACUGCCUGAUGGAGGGGGAUAACUACUGGAAACGGUAGCUAAUACCGCAUAACGUCGCAAGACCAAAGAGGGGGACCUUCGGGCCUCUUGCCAUCAGAUGUGCCCAGAUGGGAUUAGCUAGUAGGUGGGGUAACGGCUCACCUAGGCGACGAGCCCUAGCUGGUCUGAGAGGAUGACCAGCCACACUGGAACUGAGACACGGUCCAGACUCCUACGGGAGGCAGCAGUGGGGAAUAUUGCACAAUGGGCGCAAGCCUGAUGCAGCCAUGCCGCGUGUAUGAAGAAGGCCUUCGGGUUGUAAAGUACUUUCAGCGGGGAGGAAGGCGAUAAGGUUAAUAACCUUGUCGAUUGACGUUACCCGCAGAAGAAGCACCGGCUAACUCCGUGCCAGCAGCCGCGGUAA